CCUACGGGAGGCAGCAGUGAGGAAUAUUGGUCAAUGGACGAAAGUCUGAACCAGCCAAGUAGCGUGCAGGAUGACUGCCCUAUGGGUUGUAAACUUCUUUUAUAAAGGAAUAAAACCCGGCACGUGUACCUUUUUGCAUGUACUUUAUGAAUAAGGAUCGGCUAACUCCGUGCCAGCAGCCGCGGUAAUACGGAGGAUCCGAGCGUUAUCCGGAUUUAUUGGGUUUAAAGGGUGCGUAGGUGGGUUGGUAAGUUAGUUGUGAAAUGUUGCGGCUCAACCGUGAAAUUGCAAUUGAUACUGGCAGGCUUGAGUACAGUUGAGGUAGGCGGAAUUCGUGGUGUAGCGGUGAAAUGCAUAGAGAUCACGAAGAACCCCGAUUGCGAAGGCAGCUUACUAAACUGUGACUGACAUUGAUGCUCGAAAGUGUGGGUAUCAAACAGGAUUAGAUACCCUGGUAGUC
RNAcentral lists this ribosomal RNA (460 nucleotides) under uncultured bacterium. Its description in RNAcentral is "partial 16S ribosomal RNA". It matches the Rfam family "Bacterial small subunit ribosomal RNA", at positions 338 to 795 of the family's 1533-position model. The record is from RNAcentral.